AAUUUUAAAAAAUAAAUUUUGAUUUAUUUUAGUCUUCCGAUGUCUGAUCUUGAAAAAGUUUCAAGAUCUAACCCUGAAAUUCUAGAUCUGGUUCCUUCAUUUGGUCUCCUAUAAAAUCUAACAGCCAGCAACCAAAUCCGGCCAUCAAAAGCUUCAGGGGGUUUGGAAAAGGAAAGAAGAAGAAGAAGUGCUCCUUACCUUAUCUCCGAUGAGAAAUCGACAAUGAAUCGUCGAAGGAUUUUGAUGGAAAUCUAGAGAAGAUCUUAUGGAUUUCACCAACAAUUUGAUUAGGGAGUUAGACAAAGUAUUGAGGAGGAUGGGGGAA
Molecule: long non-coding RNA, 325 nt
Filed under: Elaeis guineensis (African oil palm)
Lineage: Eukaryota; Viridiplantae; Streptophyta; Magnoliopsida; Arecales; Arecaceae
Description: long non-coding RNA (EGUI_LNC033247)
Source: RNAcentral